This 17-nucleotide unclassified non-coding RNA is filed under the name Mus musculus (house mouse). Its description in RNAcentral is "oocyte_clustered_small_RNA3323". The record is from RNAcentral. Lineage: Eukaryota; Metazoa; Chordata; Mammalia; Rodentia; Muridae.
CGUCGAAGCACAGUUCU